Long non-coding RNA from Ictalurus punctatus (channel catfish), 858 nucleotides. NCBI's taxonomy places the organism in Eukaryota, Metazoa, Chordata, Actinopteri, Siluriformes, Ictaluridae. The record is from Ensembl.
AUUGGUUAUGAAUAGGACCAUUUCUUAGACUGAAUCGUAAAAUACAGAAGGUGACAUUUUCCAUAGAAAAAAACAUUUUGUUUCAUUUAACAGCCCAGGUGAACUAAUUAAUUCUAUCUAUUAUUAAAUCACUUUUCUAUUUCCCACACAGUGACAUAUUUUGACAUUCACUUCAUAGAGAUAUGAAACAGUGACACUGCACUUGUACUCUUAUAUAAAUGGCACGUAGUCAUCAUUUUCAAAAGAUUUUUGGUUAUACGGAUGUUUAUACAAAGCUUCUUGUAGACUGCAUGAGCUCAUAAUAUUUGGAGUUUCAGUCUAAUGAGUAUUUCUUUGUUGCACUCAGAGGACUAUGGAGUCCUUAAACUGCUACAUAGAUAACAAAAGGCAAGCAAGAAAUGGAACGAGAGAUCGCUGUCCCUAGCAGCAUUUUGAUCUUGUCUCAUAGACUGAAUACCGCUGAAGCCUGUGUAGCGGCUUUGCUCCACUACACCCAUCUCCAUUUUGACAUCCCUUUCUCUGCAGAGGCCGCUGGGACUGACAUAGCCAUCAGCAGAUGUUGAUCCGGGUCACAAGAGCGAUGUCAUGUGAUCGAGAACCUGCAAAUGCCUUGGUGGAAGAGUGGAGUAACAUCUCACAGCAAGAACUGAUGAAUCUGGUGCAGUCCAUGAGGAUGAGAUGCUCUGUAAUACUUAAAGCAGCUGAUACUGACUAUUGCUUUUAAUAUUGUCCCCCACUUUGUUCAGGGACUCAUUAUUCCAUUUCUGUUUGUCAAAGGUCUGUGAAACUUGUUCAGUUCAUGUCUCAGUUGUCGAAUGUUUUUAUGUUAAUACAAAUAUUUACACGUGAUAAGAAAUU